RNAcentral lists this long non-coding RNA (303 nucleotides) under Nicotiana benthamiana. RNAcentral's name for it is "long non-coding RNA (NBEN_LNC005238)". The record is from RNAcentral. Lineage: Eukaryota; Viridiplantae; Streptophyta; Magnoliopsida; Solanales; Solanaceae.
UUUCAGAAGAACCCCAAGUGAUGAGAAAGGCUUUGAAAACCAUCGAUCUAAGUAGGAGAGUCUAACUCGAAUAGCCAUGGCUGGUCGAAGAAUAGUCAUGAACUGGAAUCGAACAGCGUCUGGGCCAAGCUCUUUCAAAAUCUAGCCUUGAGACCAUAAGAAUCGAACACGUAGAAGCCAUGGGGGGUUGAUACAAGUCUCUGAUGACCUUGGAAGCCAUAGAUUUGGGAGGUAUUAUGGUUAUAGUUUGGUGGUGGCGGCUAGGGUUUAUGAGGGGUUGUAGAGAGAGCUGAGAGAGAAGAG